RNAcentral lists this ribosomal RNA (551 nucleotides) under uncultured bacterium. RNAcentral describes it as "bacterial SSU rRNA". It matches the Rfam family "Bacterial small subunit ribosomal RNA", at positions 355 to 896 of the family's 1533-position model. The record is from RNAcentral.
UGGGGAAUCUUGCGCAAUGGGGGAAACCCUGACGCAGCAACGCCGCGUGAGUGACGAAGGCCUUCGGGUCGUAAAGCUCUGUCAGAUGGAAAGAAUUAGUUCGCUGAAAAUAUUGGCGAGUGAUGACGGUACCAUCAGAGGAAGCACCGGCUAACUCCGUGCCAGCAGCCGCGGUAAUACGGAGGGUGCAAGCGUUGUUCGGAAUUAUUGGGCGUAAAGCGCGUGUAGGCGGGAAGGCAGGUCAGUUGUGAAAUCCCUUGGCCUAACCAAGGAACUGCAUCUGAAACCAUUUUCCUCGAGUACGAUAGGGGAGGGCGGAAUUCCCAGUGUAGAGGUGAAAUUCAUAGAUAUUGGGAGGAACACCAGUGGCGAAGGCGACCCUCUGGAUCGAUACUGACGCUGAGACGCGAAAGCGUGGGUAGCAAACAGGAUUAGAUACCCUGGUAGUCCACGCUGUAAACGAUGUGCACUAGGUGUUGGAGGUACUUAAUCCUCCAGUGCCGCAGCUAACGCAUUAAGUGCACCGCCUGGGGAAUACGGCCGCAAGGUUA